CGACCGCUGGCGGCGUGCUUAACACAUGCACGUCGCACGGAAAGGCCCUGCUUUUGUGGGGUGCUCGAGUGGCGAACGGGUGAGUAACACGUGAGUAACCUGCCCUUGACUUUGGGAUAACUUCAGGAAACUGGGGCUAAUACCGGAUAGGAGCUCCUGCUGCAUGGUGGGGGUUGGAAAGUUUCGGCGGUUGGGGAUGGACUCGCGGCUUAUCAGCUUGUUGGUGGGGUAGUGGCUUACCAAGGCUUUGACGGGUAGCCGGCCUGAGAGGGUGACCGGCCACAUUGGGACUGAGAUACGGCCCAGACUCCUACGGGAGGCAGCAGUGGGGAAUAUUGCACAAUGGGCGGAAGCCUGAUGCAGCAACGCCGCGUGCGGGAUGACGGCCUUCGGGUUGUAAACCGCUUUCGCCUGUGACGAAGCGUGAGUGACGGUAAUGGGUAAAGAAGCACCGGCUAACUACGUG
Molecule: ribosomal RNA, 466 nt
Filed under: uncultured bacterium
Lineage: Bacteria
Description: partial 16S ribosomal RNA
Rfam family: Bacterial small subunit ribosomal RNA
Source: RNAcentral